GGAACCCUGAGAGAUCUCUUUGUUCACCUGAGAUGUGUGUAAGCACACUGGAAUUUCCUGUACAUGUUCAACUUCCCUCCAUCCCUGUCCCACCUCAACUCUUCCCAUUCUUUGGCAACCACAAUCCUGGGUUCAACUUUUAUGAGCCCUUUAGGCUGUAAUCUCUGCAUUUCUGGAGUGUCUUAUCUUUCAUGAAUGACUUGAUCCCUGCCUUUCGCAUACCACCAACAGCUGAACUGAGGGACCAUGAGUGAAGUGAAAAGAGCAGACCUUUUGUACAUGGUAUGUUCAUCUUUCACAAAAUGCACCUUAAAAGUAAUCCUGAAGAGCAUAGUGUUAACCUGUGAAUCAGAGACAAGUGGGGACAUCAACCAGAAGAGUCAAUUGGCACUGCAAGGGGACCAAUAUCUUGGAGGAGAAGAUGCAGCUAGCUACCUCCGUAGUUUUGUGUGUCGUGGAUCACACAGAACCUUUGGAAGGAUAGAUGGUCAUCCUGAGUGUAUGCACAUAGUAAAGGAGUCUGGUCACUUCCCUUGAGGUCUGUAGACCAGAGUAGCACUUCAGCAGAAACAGAGAUGAGUGAGAAACAACUGCCCAACCCACACA
This is a non-coding RNA of Heterocephalus glaber (naked mole-rat), 606 nucleotides long. The record is from RefSeq and is a predicted model, not a curated record. Lineage: Eukaryota; Metazoa; Chordata; Mammalia; Rodentia; Bathyergidae.